RNAcentral lists this ribosomal RNA (483 nucleotides) under uncultured bacterium. RNAcentral describes it as "bacterial SSU rRNA". It matches the Rfam family "Bacterial small subunit ribosomal RNA", at positions 501 to 988 of the family's 1533-position model. The record is from RNAcentral.
CUACGUGCCAGCAGCCGCGGUAAUACGUAUGUCACGAGCGUUAUCCGGAUUUAUUGGGCGUAAAGCGCGUCUAGGUGGUUAUAUAAGUCUGAUGUGAAAAUGCAGGGCUCAACUCUGUAUUGCGUUGGAAACUGUAUAACUAGAGUACUGGAGAGGUAAGCGGAACUACAAGUGUAGAGGUGAAAUUCGUAGAUAUUUGUAGGAAUGCCGAUGGGGAAGCCAGCUUACUGGACAGAUACUGACGCUGAAGCGCGAAAGCGUGGGUAGCAAACAGGAUUAGAUACCCUGGUAGUCCACGCUGUAAACGAUGAUUACUAGGUGUUGGGGUCGAACCUCAGCGCCCAAGCAAACGCGAUAAGUAAUCCGCCUGGGGAGUACGUACGCAAGUAUGAAACUCAAAGGAAUUGACGGGGACCCGCACAAGCGGUGGAGCAUGUGGUUUAAUUCGACGCAACGCGAGGAACCUUACCAGCGUUUGACAUC